Molecule: ribosomal RNA, 472 nt
Filed under: uncultured bacterium
Lineage: Bacteria
Description: partial 16S ribosomal RNA
Rfam family: Bacterial small subunit ribosomal RNA
Source: RNAcentral
AGUGAACGCUGGCGGCAGGCCUAACACAUGCAAGUCGAACGGCAGCACAGUAAGAGUUUGCUCUUACGGGUGGCGAGUGGCGGACGGGUGAGGAAUAUAUCGGAAUCUACUUUUUCGUGGGGGAUAACGUAGGGAAACUUACGCUAAUACCGCAUACGACCUACGGGUGAAAGCAGGGGAUCUUCGGACCUUGCGCGAUUGAAUGAGCCGAUGUCGGAUUAGCUAGUUGGCGGGGGAAUGGCCCACCAAGGCGACGAUCGGUAGCUGGUCUGAGAGGGUGGCCGGGCACAUUGGGACUGAGAGAGGGCCAAGACGCCUAUGGGAGGCAGCAGUGGGGAAUAUGGUACAAUGGGCGGAAGCCUGAGGCAGCAACGCCGCGUGCGGGAUGACGGCCUAGGGGUUGUAAAACGCGUUCGCCUGUGACGAAGCGUGAGUGACGGUAAUGGGUAAAGAAGCACCGGCUAACUACGUG